UCCCGAGUAGCUCAGUGGUAGAGCGACCGGCUGUUAACCGGUUGGCCGUAGGUUCGAAUCCUACCUCGGGAGCCA
RNAcentral lists this transfer RNA (75 nucleotides) under Chloroflexota bacterium. Its description in RNAcentral is "Chloroflexi bacterium tRNA-Asn". It matches the Rfam family "tRNA". From Rfam's summary of the family: Transfer RNA (tRNA) molecules are approximately 80 nucleotides in length. Lineage: Bacteria; Bacillati; Chloroflexota. The record is from RNAcentral. RNAcentral also lists the same sequence under 2 other names.